ACAAAGGUUCGUAACCAAGGAAACCCCAACAGAAAGUGAAUACUUCUACAUAAUUAAGUAUUGCGUUAUAUGAACUAUCAGUUGGAAAAUAAGGUUCCUCUUGAAGAUGACUCGGCUCGAGGGGGAGGUGGAUAAUUCCACUGAUAAAAUUUGCAAAAAGGUUCAGAAAGAAUCUUGUUAAGAGAUAAUGAAAUAGUUCUGGGAUAUCUCGAGUAUUAUCAGCGCGAUUUGGCUAUAACAUCGGUGAAGAAUUCGGAAUGGUAUUUUUGAGAAUCCUUACCUGGCAAUAGCGUGAUUCCAGUGGGGAUCAGUUCACGUGCUUCAUUCUGUGCAUGAGCUGGUGUCUGCGCUGAAAUCUCCACACCGUUCUGCACAUGCUCCGAUGUCAGCUGCUAACAGAGCAGCUUUCUGUGAGAGAUACUGUGCAGAAAGCAGCUUUCUUACAUUAUUUGAAUGUAUUAUGUUAAAUUUACUUUUGUUUCAUUAAUAAGUAUGAUUUUACCCUUCAUUCAGGGUGUGUUAAGCUUUUGCGUGAUCUUUGAGCUAUCAUGAGUGAUAUUUGUUGCUGGUCUGUCCCUAACUCCAUUAUUCCCAUAGGCCCCAUUAUUUCUAUUAAGUGAUUGUCUAUUAAGUGAGGUUUCUCUGAAAUGCAACUAGUGUCAUAGGUGAACUACCGCCAUUGUUAUGGAUCAGGGCAGACCCCUCAAAACAAUUCAAGAAUGUAGCCCAGACCCUAACUUUGCUAGUUGUUUUAAGCAGGUGUAAAGUGAAUAUUCCAAGAGAAAUGUUGUUGGUCAAAACACUUAGUUUUAAACAAAAUUUAUUUACAAGAUUACUGAAUAAAACACAAAUAAUAGCAAACAGAAUAUUGAAUAACUUAAUCUCCCCGAAAACCCAACUGAUCAUCCCAACUUAAUGAUGCUGUUCCAAAUACUUGCAACAAUCCCCAUAAACACACCUUGACACAAAGUGUGAAA
This is a non-coding RNA of Chiloscyllium plagiosum (whitespotted bambooshark), 977 nucleotides long. NCBI's taxonomy places the organism in Eukaryota, Metazoa, Chordata, Chondrichthyes, Orectolobiformes, Hemiscylliidae. The record is from RefSeq and is a predicted model, not a curated record.